This 553-nucleotide ribosomal RNA is filed under the name Salmonella enterica subsp. enterica serovar London. RNAcentral's name for it is "partial 23S ribosomal RNA". It matches the Rfam family "Bacterial large subunit ribosomal RNA", at positions 1397 to 1946 of the family's 2925-position model. The record is from RNAcentral. Lineage: Bacteria; Pseudomonadati; Pseudomonadota; Gammaproteobacteria; Enterobacterales; Enterobacteriaceae.
CUCAGCCGAACGGCGAUGCCGAUGGCAGAAACGGUUAAUAUUCCGUUACUACCUUCAGGAGUGACGUGGAGACGCAGUAGUGACAGUGCCGCCAUCUGACGGAAUAGAUGGUUGAAGGGUGUAGGAGUCGAUCAUGGCAGGCAAAUCCACCAUGAGAUCCGAACCUGAGAGUAUGCCGCGUCCUUCGGGACAAGGCAAUAGUGCGCGUAAGCAUGCUGCCGAGAAAAUCCGCUAAACUUAAUCCUGCAGGUACCCGUACCGCAAACGGACACACGUAGUCGGGAUGAAUAUUCUAAGGCGCUUGAGUGAUUCACGGUUAAGGAACUAGGCAAACUGACCCUGUAACUUCGGGAUAAAGGGUCCCUACCCUUUUAUGGGAGGGCGCAGAGAAUCGGUCCAGGCAACUGUUUAACAAAAACACAGGGCUGUGCAAACUCGAAAGAUGACGUAUACAGCCUGACACCUGCCCGGUGCCGGAAGGUUAAGAGGAGAUGUCACUCGCAAGAGGAAGCAUUGAAUUGAAGCCCCGGUAAACGGCGGCCGUAACUAUAAC